UGGCACAUGGAUAAUGGGCGGGUUCCUUACUGCACAUCGCACUUAAGAGGACUCUUAAACCAACAUGAUCGUUUGUGGCUCGUCAGGGACACAGCCAGGAGCUGUUGCCCACCCGUAGAGAUGUACUCCCCAGAGAAAGUUCAGGAAGAAAAUAUGGGGGAAUGCAACCUUGUCUUCGCGAGGAAGGAGAGCAAUCCGUGCAAGUCUUUGUAGCUAGCACUGCUUUAACCACAAACGGCGAGAGACCUUCCGAUCACGGUGGCCUCACAUCUAUGAAGACGAAGAAAACGAACUAAAACGUGAAAGGAAGGGAAAUUUAAAAGUUAAUUAAUGGAAAUAACAUUUUAAAAUGAUUUACGACCGCAAAAAGUUCAGAAAAAUCCAUACAGCGCUUCGGAGAUCCGGCAUCUGUGGAGCAGAUUUCACGCAA
This is a long non-coding RNA of Schistocerca cancellata (South American locust), 430 nucleotides long. RefSeq lists it as uncharacterized. The transcript has 3 exons. The record is from RefSeq and is a predicted model, not a curated record. NCBI's taxonomy places the organism in Eukaryota, Metazoa, Arthropoda, Insecta, Orthoptera, Acrididae.